GAGUUUGAUCCUGGCUCAGGACGAACGCUGGCGGCGUGCCUAAUACAUGCAAGUCGAGCGGACAGAUGGGAGCUUGCUCCCUGAUGUUAGCGGCGGACGGGUGAGUAACACGUGGGUAACCUGCCUGUAAGACUGGGAUAACUCCGGGAAACCGGGGCUAAUACCGGAUGGUUGUUUGAACCGCAUGGUUCAAACAUAAAAGGUGGCUUCGGCUACCACUUACAGAUGGACCCGCGGCGCAUUAGCUAGUUGGUGAGGUAACGGCUCACCAAGGCAACGAUGCGUAGCCGACCUGAGAGGGUGAUCGGCAACACUGGGAUGAGACACGCCCCCAGACUCAUACGGGAGGUCUCCCCGUCGGGAAUUUUCCGCCAUUGGGAUGAAAGUCUGACGAAGCAACGCCGCGUGAGUGAUGAAGGUUUUCGGAUCGUAAAGCUCUGUUGUUAGGGAAGAACAAGUACCGUUCAAAUAGGGCGGUACCUUGACGGUACCUAACCAGAAAGCCACGGCUAACUACGUGCCAGCAGCCGCGGUAAUACGUAGGUGGCAAGCGUUGUCCGGAAUUAUUGGGCGUAAAGGGCUCGCAGGCGGUUUCUUAAGUCUGAUGUGAAAGCCCCCGGCUCAACCGGGGAGGGUCAUUGGAAACUGGGGAACUUGAGUGCAGAAGAGGAGAGUGGAAUUCCACGUGUAGCGGUGAAAUGCGUAGAGAUGUGGAGGAACCACCAGUGGCGAAGGCGACUCUCUGGUCUGUAACUGACGCUGAGGAGCGAAAGCGUGGGGAGCGAACAGGAUUAGAUACCCUGGUAGUCCACGCCGUAAACGAUGAGUGCUAAGUGUUAGGGGGUUUCCGCCCCUUAGUGCUGCAGCUAACGCAUUAAGCACUCCGCCUGGGGAGUACGGUCGCAAGACUGAAACUCAAAGGAAUUGACGGGGGCCCGCACAAGCGGUGGAGCAUGUGGUUUAAUUCGAAGCAACGCGAAGAACCUUACCAGGUCUUGACAUCCUCUGACAAUCCUAGAGAUAGGACGUCCCCUUCGGGGGCAGAGUGACAGGUGGUGCAUGGUUGUCGUCAGCUCGUGUCGUGAGAUGUUGGGUUAAGUCCCGCAACGAGCGCAACCCUUGAUCUUAAGUUGCCAGCCAUUCAGUGGGCCACUCUAAGGUGACUGCCGGUGACAAACCGGAGGAAGGUGGGGAUGACGUCAAAUCAUCAUGCCCCUUAUGACCUGGGCUACACACGUGCUACAAUGGACAGAACAAAGGGCAGCGAAACCGCGAGGUUAAGCCAAUCCCACAAAUCUGUUCUCAGUUCGGAUCGCAGUCUGCAACUCGACUGCGUGAAGCUGGAAUCGCUAGUAAUCGCGGAUCAGCAUGCCGCGGUGAAUACGUUCCCGGGCCUUGUACACACCGCCCGUCACACCACGAGAGUUUGUAACACCCGAAGUCGGUGAGGUAACCUUUUAGGAGCCAGCCGCCGAAGGUGGGACAGAUGAUUGG
Molecule: ribosomal RNA, 1494 nt
Filed under: Bacillus sp. THY-C1
Lineage: Bacteria; Bacillati; Bacillota; Bacilli; Caryophanales; Bacillaceae
Description: 16S ribosomal RNA
Rfam family: Bacterial small subunit ribosomal RNA
Source: RNAcentral